RNAcentral lists this ribosomal RNA (440 nucleotides) under uncultured bacterium. Its description in RNAcentral is "partial 16S ribosomal RNA". It matches the Rfam family "Bacterial small subunit ribosomal RNA", at positions 338 to 795 of the family's 1533-position model. The record is from RNAcentral.
CCUACGGGAGGUAGCAGUGGGGAAUAUUGCACAAUGGGGGAAACCCUGAUGCAGCGACGCCGCGUGAGUGAAGAAGUAUUUCGGUACGUAAAGCUCUAUCAGCAGGGAAGAAAAUGACGGUACCUGACUAAGAAGCCCCGGCUAACUACGUGCCAGCAGCCGCGGUAAUACGUAGGGGGCAAGCGUUAUCCGGAUUUACUGGGUGUAAAGGGAGCGUAGACGGCAGCGCAAGUCUGGAGUGAAAUCCCAUGGCUUAACCAUGGAACUGCUUUGGAAACUGUGCAGCUAGAGUGCAGGAGAGGUAAGCGGAAUUCCGAGUGUAGCGGUGAAAUGCGUAGAUAUUAGGAGGAACACCAGUGGCGAAGGCGGCUUACUGGACUGUAACUGACGUUGAGGCUCGAAAGCGUGGGGAGCAAACAGGAUUAGAUACCCCUGUAGUC